GUCCACAAAUUCCUAUAAAGCAAAACUUUGAUGCUACAUAUAAUCAUACUAUAAACACCAAUAAAAUUGACCAAAUAUCCGUUUUCAGUUGAUUUAAAGGAAUCCCAGAUGAAAAAGAAAAAUUCCUAGCUAAGCAUCAAGUAGUUCCCAUUUCUUGCAGACUAAAACCACGAGAAAAUCCAAACCCAGCUCAAGUCCUCAACUAAAUCAGAAAAAGCAUAAAAAGACCAGAUGCCAAAACUACAAAACCAUCAUAAAAAAGGCCGCAAAAAAGUUCCACAAACGAGACGCCAAAACACUUCAAAUAUAGUAGCAAAGAUAGUAAAAGUAAUAGCGAUAGUACCCCAUGAGAUUAACCCUCAGG
This 364-nucleotide unclassified non-coding RNA is filed under the name Hevea brasiliensis (rubber tree). Lineage: Eukaryota; Viridiplantae; Streptophyta; Magnoliopsida; Malpighiales; Euphorbiaceae. The record is from RNAcentral.